Molecule: transfer-messenger RNA, 399 nt
Filed under: Dysgonomonadaceae
Lineage: Bacteria; Pseudomonadati; Bacteroidota; Bacteroidia; Bacteroidales
Also listed under: 1 other name
Description: Dysgonomonas sp010501055 Standard tmRNA
Rfam family: transfer-messenger RNA
About the family: Bacterial tmRNA, also known as 10Sa RNA or SsrA, is named for its dual tRNA and mRNA-like properties. Its role is to liberate the mRNA from a stalled ribosome.
Source: RNAcentral
GGGGCUGACUGGCUUUGACAGCGAGAUGAAGUGGUUUGUAAGCAUGCAGUGCGUAGUCGGCUGGCACUAUAAUCUCAGACGUCAAAAAUUUAACUGGCAAUAACAAUUACGCUCUUGCUGCUUAAUCGAAGUAUAGUAGAUUCUAGCUUAAUCCCUGCACAGGUGUAGGGACAAGACAUUACCCGGAAGCUGUGGCUUCGAAGCGUUCCGAUACGGUGGUGCAGAUAAAUCGGAGAUAGGAUAGGGGAGGCUUCGGCUCUUAUCUGAAACUAAAGAAGCUAAGGUUUGGGUUGGUGGCUUCGGUCUUGCCCAUUCACGAAAACCAAAGCGGAGAUAAGCAUGUAGAAAGCAAAUUAGUUCCUUGUUUGGACCGGGGUUCAAGUCCCCGCAGCUCCACAA